ACUAAUGAUGUGUUUGGUUCGGUUUCAGUGCAAAGGUAUCGGCAGUCCGUGUUCACCAACAGAUGGAUGCUGCCAUUUUGUUAUUAACAGGUGCCUGGAUAAUGUCUGCGUUAAUAUAAUGCCUCCACAAGUGAGAAGGUAGAUAGACGGACCUUCCCAGAAUACAAACGGACUAAUGUCACCUGCUACCAAUGAGUAUUGGAUGCUGGAUGUAGCCAAAUAGUAACAACAACAGGGUGCGUCUGCCUACUGUCCGAUUCUGGGAUGUCAACGUAUUUCUCGAUUGCUCUGUUUGUUCAAGAAAUUCAACGAGAAAUAAAAUUCUACUAAAAGCAAA
Molecule: long non-coding RNA, 337 nt
Organism: Pomacea canaliculata
Lineage: Eukaryota; Metazoa; Mollusca; Gastropoda; Architaenioglossa; Ampullariidae
Exons: 3
Source: RefSeq, a predicted model, not a curated record